Long non-coding RNA from Rhinopithecus roxellana (golden snub-nosed monkey), 430 nucleotides. RefSeq lists it as uncharacterized. The transcript is spliced from 2 exons. Lineage: Eukaryota; Metazoa; Chordata; Mammalia; Primates; Cercopithecidae. The record is from RefSeq and is a predicted model, not a curated record.
AUUAGGAGUGAUUAGGGCAGACCUCAUUUAUAAAAGGGGAGAUUUGACAAAGACUUAAAGGAGAGCAUUAGCCAGGAAUCUGAACUAGGGAAAAGUUCUUCCAGAGGAAGCUCCAAAGGACAAAGGUCUAAGAUAUGAGGGUACCUGCAUCUGUCUAGAAUGGAGUGAGCAGGCCACAAAGGGCCUUGUCAGCUACUCUGAAGACUGAGUUUUACAGGGGUCUGUUUUGGAGAUCUGAUACCCUCUUAGAGGUUUGCUCUUGAAGUCUACUUUACGAGAAGGCCAUUAGUCUCAAAACAAUUUUGAGAAUGUCUGGAAAGCAGGAAAGGAAUCCAACAAUCUUACCUCUUAGCAUUUAGAAGUUACCCCUUCUGGGUAAAAGCAAAAUCACAAAGAUGCAUGUCUUGCAAUAAAAUUCUGAAGCUCAUGA